UACGGAGGGUGCAAACGUUGCUCGGAAUUAUUGGGCGUAAAGCGCACGUAGGCGGCUUGGCAAGUUGGAUGUGAAAGCCCUAGGCUCAACCAAGGAAGUGCAUCCAAAACUGUCUGGCUUGAAUCCCGGAGGGGGCCAGAGAAUUCCCGGUGUAGAGGUGAAAUUCGUAGAUAUCGGGAGGAAUACCAGUGGCGAAGGCGCUGGCCUGGACGGUGAUUGACGCUGAGGUGCGAAAGCGUGGGGAGCGAACAGG
RNAcentral lists this unclassified non-coding RNA (253 nucleotides) under uncultured Myxococcales bacterium. RNAcentral describes it as "contains 16S-23S intergenic spacer region". It matches the Rfam family "Bacterial small subunit ribosomal RNA", at positions 524 to 776 of the family's 1533-position model. The record is from RNAcentral. Lineage: Bacteria; Pseudomonadati; Myxococcota; Myxococcia; Myxococcales.